GGGAAGGUAGAAAAGGCAUGGGAAAGUCGAUUUAGGAGAUAAUGUAUUGCAUUUAAAGAACUUGAAUGCCAUUACUUUUCAUCACUUAACUUUUCAAAGAACACUUUCAGCUUCCUUAUUUGCAUGUUUCAUUGUUUUCCAGCCUUUACACUGUAUGCUUAAAAUGCAAAUGGAAUAAUAUAAGAAUAAUGAGAAGUAAUACUUGGAAGUGUUCUGAGAAAAUGCUGCAAAAAGGGUCUGGUUUCCAUCUGAUUGAAAGGAGCCACCGACACUCCUGAUAUUCCUGCUUGUGGGCUAGUUAACGUUGUGAGUACGUGUUCCCACUGGCAACCAAGAAGCUUCCUCCAGGAGGGACAUGGGUAUCACCCAUGGAAGACACCACAGAAGACAAAGGUGUGUUUCUUCUCACGGACAUGCAUGUUGAAUGGAAGCCUGACAGUUGCUGGCCUAAAGGACCAGGAAGAUAUACAUCAAGAUAUGUACAUAAAUAUAUAACACAAGAAGGCGAAGGCAUAGGGAACUACUGCGGAGGUGGGCGGUGCUUCUCUCUCAGAACUAGAACCUCCAGCAUGUCUGCACAACAUUCGUUGGUUUGGUGAGUGUUUGUCUCCUUCUUUAAAGUGGAUUAUUACUGUUGCUGUUGUUGUAAUGGAGUCAUCAUGUUUCCCAGCUGUGCCUGCUUGCACAAAGAACAAAGAAGAUGGAGAAAAUGACAAUUUACAUAGAAAACCCAGCCUUGGAUAACUACUUCUACCACUUGCAAAUAGGCGAUGAAACCUUAUCCACAAGAGAGAGCUAUUUCUAAAUUUUAUGAAUAGGCCUAAAUACACAAACCUAUGUAUAAAACACUCCCAAAUAAGUGGUACAGUUCAUACUGUGGAUUGGAGUUUUUCCUUCCAUACUGUGUGUGUGUGUGUGUGUGUGUGUGUUUUGACAGGCAGCGUUAGACAGUGAGAGAGAGACAGAGACAGAGACAAAGGUCUUCCUUUUCCAUUGGUUCAACCCCGAAAUGGCUGCCAUGGCCGGUG
RNAcentral lists this long non-coding RNA (1028 nucleotides) under Oryctolagus cuniculus (rabbit). RNAcentral describes it as "lncRNA (ENSOCUG00000038738.1)". The record is from RNAcentral. Lineage: Eukaryota; Metazoa; Chordata; Mammalia; Lagomorpha; Leporidae.